This 139-nucleotide non-coding RNA is filed under the name Pseudoalteromonas luteoviolacea. RNAcentral describes it as "TPP sequence". It matches the Rfam family "TPP riboswitch aptamer (THI element)". Rfam says of the family: Vitamin B(1) in its active form thiamin pyrophosphate (TPP) is an essential coenzyme that is synthesised by coupling of pyrimidine and thiazole moieties in bacteria. Lineage: Bacteria; Pseudomonadati; Pseudomonadota; Gammaproteobacteria; Alteromonadales; Pseudoalteromonadaceae. The record is from RNAcentral.
CCCGCUUCCUAGGGGAGCCCAAUGUACUAAGGCUGAGAUUCUACUAACGGAGUGUUUACUGCACUCUUGUUGUUAAAAGUAGUAACCCUUUGAACCUGAUAAAGUUAAUGCUUGCGCAGGGAAGGAGGUAGCCACUGGU